AGAGAGCAGAUUCGCACAAACCCGGAAGCGGGUCGCGUGGAGUGACGGUCCCACCGCGGGGAUAUCUCUUCCAAAUGCAUGAUGAAGGAGUUCUCAUCCACAGCGCAAGGCAAUACAGAAGUGAUCCACACAGGGACAUUGCAAAGACAUGAAAGUCAUCACAUUAGAGAUUUUUGCUUCCAGGAAAUUGAGAAAGAUAUUCAUAACUUUGAGUUUCAGUGGCAAGAAGAGGAAAGGAAUGGUCACGAAGCACCCAUGACAGAAAUCAAAGAGUUGACUGGUAGUACAGACCGACAUGAUCAAAGGCAUGCUGGAAACAAGCCUAUUAAAGAUCAGCUUGGAUCCAGCUUUCAUUCGCAUCUGCCUGAACUCCACAUAUUUCAGCCUGAAUGGAAAAUUGGUAAUCAAGUUGAGAAGUCUAUCAUCAAUGCCUCCUUAAUUUUGACAUCCCAAAGAAUUUCUUGUAGUCCCAAAACCCGUAUUUCUAAUAACUAUGGGAAUAAUUCCCUCCAUUCUUCAUUACCCAUACAAAAAUUGGGAAGUACACAUGAGAGAAAAAUCUUUCCAAUGUAAUGAGAGUGGCAAAUCCUUUAAUUAUAGCUAACUCUUAAGGAAAUAUCAGAUAAUCCAUUUAGGAUAGAAACAAUAUAAAUGUGAGGUAUGUGACAAGGUCUUUAAUCAGAAUUGAUUCCUUGUAUGCCAUAAUAGAUGUCACACUGGUAAGAAACCUUACAGUUGUUAUGAGUGUGGCAAGACCUUCAGUCAGACGUCAUCCUUUACAUGCUAUCGUAGACUUCAUACUGGAGGGAAACCUUACAAGUGUAGUGAGCAUAACAAGACCUUUGGUUGAAAUUCAGCCCUUGUAAUUCAUAAGGCAAUUCAUACUGGAGAGAAUCCUUGCAAGUGUAAUGAAUGUGGCAAGGUUUUUAAUCAGAAAGCACACCUUGCACGUCAUCAUAGACUUCAUACUAGAGAGAAGCCUUACAAAUGUGAAGAAUGUGAAAAAGUUUUCAGUCGCAAAUCACAUCUUGAAAGACAAAACUUAAAAGAGGUGGCGUUGCCCUUGUUUUUGAGAAUGCCCUACUGUGUAAGUGGUAGUGUUCUUUCUUUUUUUUUUUUUUUUAAGACGGAGUCUCACCUGAGCGAGCCUCUGCACUGGCCUUAUUUAUUAUUGUUAUUAAUUUUUUGUUUUUGAGACGGAGUUUCACUCUUAUUGCCCAGGCUGGAGUGCAAUGGUGCAAUCUUGGCUCACUGCACCCUCUGUCUGUUGGGCUCAAGCGUUUCUCUUGCCUCAGCCUCCCAAGUAGCUGGGACUACAGGUGCAUGCCACCACGCCUGGUUAAUUUUUGUAUUUAUAGUGGAGAUGGGGUUUCUCCAUAUUGGUCAGGCUGGUCUUGAACCCUUGACCUCAGGUCAUCCACCCGCCUCGGCCUUCCAAAACGCUGGAUUUACAGGCUUGAGCCACGCGUCCGGCCUGAAGUGGUAUUUUUUAGAAAGUAACUAAACCUUUUUUCAGUUUAAUGACCCAGGGAUGUAUUUCUGAAGGACUUGGGAGCGAUCCUUUUAAGGCAAACAAGGGAGAUAGUACCUGUAUCUUAGUAGGAAAUUAAAUAAUUCAAACAUCAAAUGUUUCAAAUUAAAAGCUACCGACCUUUAAAUAAUUCUGAGCCUUGAGAGGAACGUGGUCAUGCAACAAGAGUCCAGUGGCAUGCAGGCACAAGGUUUUUUCUUUUUUGUUUUUUGUUUUUUUUUGAGACAGUCUCGCUCUGUCGCCCAAGCUGAAGUGCAGUGGUGCGAUCUCAGCUCACUGCAAGCUCCGCCUCCUGGGUUCACGUCAUUUUCCUGUCUCAGCCUCCCCAGUAGCUGGGACUCCAGGCACCCACCACCACUCCCGGCUAAUUUUUUGUAUUUUUAGUACAGACAGGGUUUCACUGUGUUAGCCAGGAUGGUCUUGAUCUCCUGACCUUGUGAUCCACCCACCUCAGCCUCCCAAAGUGCUGGGAUUACAGGCAUGAAUGACCGCGCCCAGCCGCAGGCGCAACUUUUUUGAGUUUUCCUGGCCAGGCGCAGUGGCUCAAGCCUGUAAUCCCAGCAUUUUGGGAGGCCGAGGUGGGCGGAUCACUUGAGGUCAGGAGUUAGAAACCAGCCUGGCCAACGUGGUGAAACCCCGUCUCCAGUAAACAUACAAAGCCAUUACAGGGCAUGGUGGGGCACGCCUGUAUUCCCAGCUACUUGGGAGGCUGAGGCAGGAGAACUGCUUGAUCCGGGGAGGUGGAAGUUGCAGUGGGCCAAGAUCAUGCCACUGCACCCCAGCCUGGGCAACAGAGCAAGACUCCGUACC
Homo sapiens (human) is the source of this 2341-nucleotide long non-coding RNA. Ensembl annotates it as zinc finger protein 321, pseudogene. Its record names the gene ZNF321P. NCBI's taxonomy places the organism in Eukaryota, Metazoa, Chordata, Mammalia, Primates, Hominidae. The record is from Ensembl.